Molecule: ribosomal RNA, 253 nt
Filed under: uncultured bacterium
Lineage: Bacteria
Description: partial 16S ribosomal RNA
Rfam family: Bacterial small subunit ribosomal RNA
Source: RNAcentral
UACGGAGGGUGCAAGCGUUAUCCGGAUUCACUGGGUUUAAAGGGUGCGUAGGUUGAUUGGUAAGUCAGUGGUGAAAUACUCCGACUCAAUCGGAGAACUGCCGUUGAUACUAUCAAUCUUGAAUAUGGUGGAGGCGGGCGGAAUGCGUCAUGUAGUGGUGAAAUACUUAGAUAUGACGCAGAACACCCAUUGCGAAGGCAGCUCGUUACGCCAUUAUUGACACUGAGGCACGAAAGCGUGGGGAUCAAACAGG